ACUUUCUUAGUACAAAUAGUACAAAUGACUUCCAAUCAUUUAAUCUUGGUUAAAACCCAAGAGAGAGUA
Molecule: transfer RNA, 69 nt
Filed under: Nanorana taihangnica (Taihangshan swelled-vented frog)
Lineage: Eukaryota; Metazoa; Chordata; Amphibia; Anura; Dicroglossidae
Description: tRNA-Gly
Rfam family: tRNA
About the family: Transfer RNA (tRNA) molecules are approximately 80 nucleotides in length. Their secondary structure includes four short double-helical elements and three loops (D, anti-codon, and T loops).
Source: RNAcentral